GGGUGUAUAGCUCAGUGGGAGAGUCCAUGCUUAGCAUGCACAAGGUCUUGGGUUCAAUCCCUAGUACCUCCA
Molecule: transfer RNA, 72 nt
Filed under: Camelus bactrianus (Bactrian camel)
Lineage: Eukaryota; Metazoa; Chordata; Mammalia; Artiodactyla; Camelidae
Also listed under: 2 other names
Rfam family: tRNA
About the family: Transfer RNA (tRNA) molecules are approximately 80 nucleotides in length. Their secondary structure includes four short double-helical elements and three loops (D, anti-codon, and T loops).
Source: Rfam by way of RNAcentral